RNAcentral lists this ribosomal RNA (497 nucleotides) under uncultured bacterium. RNAcentral describes it as "partial 16S ribosomal RNA". It matches the Rfam family "Bacterial small subunit ribosomal RNA", at positions 28 to 507 of the family's 1533-position model. The record is from RNAcentral.
GAUGAACGCUGGCGGCGUGCCUAAUACAUGCAAGUCGAGCGGACGGACGAGAAUCUUGCUUCUCUUAUGUUAGCGGCGGAUGUGUGAGUACCACGUUUAUAACCUACCUCUGAGACUGGGCUACCUUCAGGAAACCGGAGCUCAUACCUGAUGUUAUUUUGAACCGCAUGGUUCUACAGUCCACGCCGUUCUUGCUGUCCCUCAUUCAUUGUUCCGCGCUGCAUUAGCUAGUUGGUAAGGUAACGGCUUACCAAGGCAACGAUGCAUAGCCGAUCUGAGAGGAUGAGCGGACACACUGGAACUGAGACACGGUCAAGACUCCUACGGGAGGCAGCAGUAGGGAAUCUUACGAAAUGGGCGAAAGCCUGACGGAGCAACGCCGCGUGAGUGAAGAAGGUCUUCGGAUUGUAAAGCACCGUAAGUAGGGAAGAAGAUAAGUGUAAGUAAAGGUGGAGAUGUUGACGGGACCGAAUCAAUAAGACACGGCUAACUGCGUG